This 935-nucleotide long non-coding RNA is filed under the name Eucalyptus grandis. Its description in RNAcentral is "long non-coding RNA (EGRA_LNC005863)". The record is from RNAcentral. Lineage: Eukaryota; Viridiplantae; Streptophyta; Magnoliopsida; Myrtales; Myrtaceae.
UGAAAGAGAAUGAUUUACUUUAUAUGUUGUGCGUUGAAAGAUGGGGCAAAGGGCAGGGGCUUUACAGAAGCUUGUAUUAGCGGAAACUUCUCUACAUUGUUGGGUCUGCCUUGUACAGAAAAAGACCUCUUUGAUUUUCUAUGAACUUGCAACGGUGUGAGAUGUUUGCUCAUUUGGGCUCACAAGAUUUUGCGUUGAAAAGCCCAUCAAGUGUUUUCACCCCCAUAAUACGAGAAUAGGUCUAAUCUUGUCACGGCCCAAUUUCAAAAGCCCAGCCCACAGCCUCAGCCACAGCCGUUCCUUCUUCCUCGCUCUCGGGCCAAGGUUCCAAGGCGCUCGAAUUUCCUCUCCUCCGCAGCUCCUCCCCCAUUGAGGGCAAUAGAAGAGGAGUCGUAGGUGCAAAUCGACGUUUUCGACAAGCGUAAUCAAGAUCGACGACGCUAAUCGGCGUUCGGUUUUUCUCCCCUUCCGUCCUUGCUCGCGCUGAUCGAUCGGUACGCUCGAUCCAGAUCGCAGGUCGCCGGCGGCUUGAGCGCUUCCCGGUAACCCUGAAUUCAGAUUUGCGGUACAUUCUCGGUCUGGGCUUUGUGAGAUGGGGGUUGAACAUGUGUAGAUCUUGUGAUUUGCAGAUUGAGGAAAACGGGGAGCCGCGAAAUUAACUGUUGGUGAGUGAGAGGGCUCGGGACAGAAUGGAGAGGAGUGCUUGAGGAAGAGAGAGGCAGAAGCGGGAAGAAAAAGUGCAGUGCAGCAGGCCUCUCCUUCUUCGCGUCGACCCCGCCCAAGUCCGCUGAGAUCUCCCUCGCGACCGAGCCGGUUAGCGUCAGGGACAGCGCUCGGUCAGCGGCAGGGAGCCUGGUGCCGCUCGGGACGAGACCGAGAUGCCUUAGGCAGAUGACCAGCGUUCUUUGUUCUCUUACGAGGAGAGGAGAGAAUCC